This 200-nucleotide ribosomal RNA is filed under the name uncultured bacterium. Its description in RNAcentral is "partial 16S ribosomal RNA". It matches the Rfam family "Bacterial small subunit ribosomal RNA", at positions 28 to 229 of the family's 1533-position model. The record is from RNAcentral.
GAUGAACGCUAGCGGCAGGCCUAAUACAUGCAAGUCGAGGGGUAUGGGGAGCUUGCUCCCUGGAGACCGGCGCACGGGUGCGUAACGCGUAUGCAACCUACCUUAACCUGGGGGAUAGCCCGGAGAAAUCCGGAUUAAUACCGCAUAAAAUCACAGUACGGCAUCGUACAAUGAUCAAACAUUCAUGGGGUUGGGAUGGG